Molecule: unclassified non-coding RNA, 500 nt
Filed under: Melitaea cinxia (Glanville fritillary)
Lineage: Eukaryota; Metazoa; Arthropoda; Insecta; Lepidoptera; Nymphalidae
Description: misc RNA ENSMCXG00005021475.1
Source: RNAcentral
CGCUAAGUUAGUUAAGUUAGUUAAACCAGCUACCAUAUAACAUAUUUACAAAAACCGUGCGCACAAAGGAUUAUUAUGUAUUUUGUUUAUAUACAAAAAUGUAUGUAACAUUUCUUGACAAUAUGCAAGAAUUAAGUGCGACAGGAUAAAAAAAAUAACUAAAUAACCGUCUUAGGCGGUGGCAUGACGUCACGAUAACGGAAAAUAUGAUUUACUAACUACUUUAAAAAAAUUACACUGUAACUAGGGUUGCCAACUCAUAAAAUAAUUAAAUCGACGUAGUUUUAUGUAAUAUUCCUAGCAUUUAUAUAUUUAAGUAUUAAAACGGGUACCUACCUACAUAUUACUACUAAAGCCUGGCUUCCUAUAUGAUAUCUCAAAUGUGUUUUAAAUUAAAUCGGGUAUUAAUAAAUUUUGGACCCGUAUUUUGUUUUGAUUCCAACUCUAGCUACAAUAUUAAGGAAAAUAUAUAAUAAGUAAUAUACAUUCGAGUAACAAAC